RNAcentral lists this ribosomal RNA (193 nucleotides) under uncultured bacterium. Its description in RNAcentral is "partial 16S ribosomal RNA". It matches the Rfam family "Bacterial small subunit ribosomal RNA", at positions 1307 to 1500 of the family's 1533-position model. The record is from RNAcentral.
GCAACUCGCCUACACGAAGCUGGAAUCGCUAGUAAUCGCGGAUCAGCACGCCGCGGUGAAUACGUUCCCGGGCCUUGUACACACCGCCCGUCACACCAUGGGAGCCGGUAAUACCCGAAGUCAGUAGUCCAACCUCGUGAGGACGCUGCCGAAGGUAGGAUUGGCGACUGGGGUGAAGUCGUAACAAGGUACC